AAGGUGUGUUGUUGUGGGUUUCUCACUAUGGUUUCUCAUUACUACAGAGAGCUUGAACCUGAAUGUUUUCUCUCCUGUUAUAGGUCUUUACUGUGUGACCCAACUAAAAUAGACCGAGUCUGAGAAGAAAGAUGGAUGACUUGGCUGGGAAGAAAAGAUGUCCUCAAUCCCAGGUCUCCCCUUAUAGUGGUCAUGAGGACAGAAUGAACAACUUCAUCACCAAAGAUGAGCCUCAUAAUGGUAAUCAUGGGAUUUAUCCAUGUGUUUGACUGAUGACAACAGACGUCACAAUGUACCACAAGGCAAGUUAAACACUCAAUAAACAAACAUUAAAAGUGACUUUUUUUCAAUAGUCCACUUUAGACGUAAAAAAAUGUGCAAUAACUGUAAAUAGUCAACUACCAGUCAUUGAUUAGAGUUUUAGUCUGACACUAACACUUUUUAAUGCUCCCCACCAGACAUUUUACUGACUGUAACUUUGCACCUACAAGUCAACUAGCAGUCAUUAGAUUAUUACUUAACUGUCUUCCCAAUAUCUGCUAACACUUUAUUUUGAUAUAUGUCUGCUUAAUAUCUGCUUCUAAUAGUCUAGUACUCCGAGUCUAAUGAGAUUAGUUGACAUGUAGUUGCAAAUCAAUGAGAGUUAUUAGUCAUGUAGUUGCAAAGUUACUAAUAGUUAGUAGAAUGUCUAAAUUGGACUGUGAACCAUAUGAAUUGUGGAUCUUCGGCCAGCAGAUUUGGUUAGUUUGCACUUUUUUUUUGCUGCAAAGCUCAUGAAAGCUUCCAGUAAACCACUGGAUUCAUAGUAAUGUUAUUUACCACAUGGGGAAUUUGCCCUUACUGUGAUGAUCAUUUAUUUUCAGAAAGCAUGUGGUCAUGAUGUCAAACUGAUACUUUUAUCUUGUGUGUCAUAUCUAUGCAUCUCAAUGCCACACUCAUGUUUACUGAGCCUCAACAGCAAAUGAACACCUUACCUGCACAUAAAACAACUGAUCAGCUCGGUUCAUCAGAUUAUCUGAUCAUCUUGAGACUGAUCUCUGAUUUGGGUUUAUUUUAACAUCAGUGUUAGCCCAAACCACAGGCUUUUACACAAACAAUGCAUAGGAUGUGACAGCGACUGAGGCUCCAACCAGAAGUCAGAGAUUGUUAGCCGCAUCACUUCCUGUGGAGGAGUGAGCGAGAGAAGCUGCUCAGUGCAGAGAGAGAAGUGUUGAUGUGAACUUCAGCGGACCAGCAGUGACAUUCACCGAUCUGAUUGAUAACCAACACUUUUAAAAUACUUUCACACUUUUAAAGAUGUUUGUCAGAGCUGUCUAAAGUUGCUUUCCCAAAAG
This is a long non-coding RNA of Pimephales promelas (fathead minnow), 1334 nucleotides long. RefSeq lists it as uncharacterized. The record is from RefSeq and is a predicted model, not a curated record. Lineage: Eukaryota; Metazoa; Chordata; Actinopteri; Cypriniformes; Leuciscidae.